This 1190-nucleotide long non-coding RNA is filed under the name Zea mays. Its description in RNAcentral is "long non-coding RNA (ZMAY_LNC004336)". The record is from RNAcentral. Lineage: Eukaryota; Viridiplantae; Streptophyta; Magnoliopsida; Poales; Poaceae.
CUAAGUACGAUCUGGAAGUCCACCACCUGUUUUUGACACACAACUUAGUGCACCAAUUACACAUAAUCAGGCUCAUAAACGACGGCGCACCUACGCACAAACUCAAACCCCGCCGCGGGUUACAUCUCUCCCCACACCCCCCAAACUGCAGCGACGCUGCUUAAUAAUUUCAUAACUUUAAAAUUAUAACAACAGUGGUAACAAACAAAAACUCCAGAGGCAUCUAAAUAAAAUUCCCCACAAGUUUUGUAUACAAUUUAUAAUUAAAUUCCAACAUCUAAUUAGCCCAAAAUAGUCCACAAGAUAAACCCUGUAAUCUGUUUUUUUUGUCUUUUGGACAGCGACAUACCCGGAUUCAAACAGCGAUAUCUUUCAAAAUAUAAUUCCAAAUCAAGCGCAUAAGUACUCAUUGGAAAGAUAAGACAAAGCCCUACAUGAUUAUCAUACUGGUUAACACUAAUUAUCCACGAAAAAUUCCCAGAAACUGCUAAUACUACUGUUCUUCACCCACCUGAAAAAUCUGUUUUUUUGGACAGCAACAUAACCGGAUUCAAACAACGAUAUCUCCUAAAUUAUAACUCCGAAUCGAGCGCAUAAGUACUCGUUGGAAAGGUAUGACAAAGAUCUACAUGAUUUUCAUACUGGUUAACACUAAUUACCCACGAAAAAUUCCCAGAAACUGCUAAUACUACUGUUCUUCACCCACCUGAAAAAUCUGUUUUUUUGGACAGCAACAUAACCGGAUUCAAACAACGAUAUCUCCUAAAUUAUAACUCCGAAUCGAGCGCAUAAGUACUCGUUGGAAAGGUAUGACAAAUCUCUACAUGAUUCUCCCACUGAUCCCCACUAAUUGCCCACGAAAAAUUCCCAGAAAUCUAUAGAACUACUGCUGUUCGUUCACCCACUAAAUUUCUGGACAGCACCUCUACCAAAUUGCAUAGGUAAACAUGUAACCAAUUGGAUUGUAGCACAAAAACAUAGAUAACUUAAGAUCACCUUGAGUUUCACCUUUUUCCUCCUUCCUUCCUCCCACCAAUUCUCCAAUUGAAACUUGCACCCACACGAAGAAGAUCCGACGAGGAAGAACGACACUUGGAGAAGAGGAGAUGGGGGGGGGGUGGCGGCUAGGGUUGAGGAGAUGGCUGCUGCAAACAAACUUGAGAAUGGAGGGGGCGGCUGCAGCACUUGGG